GUUCUUCCUUCAGCAGAACAUAUACUAAAAUUGAAACAACAGAGAAAACUAGUGUGGCUCCUAAGUGAGGAUGACAUGCAAAUUUAUGGUGUUCCUUAUUUUAUU
Molecule: small nuclear RNA, 105 nt
Organism: Sciurus vulgaris (Eurasian red squirrel)
Lineage: Eukaryota; Metazoa; Chordata; Mammalia; Rodentia; Sciuridae
Source: Ensembl